Molecule: ribosomal RNA, 467 nt
Filed under: uncultured bacterium
Lineage: Bacteria
Description: bacterial SSU rRNA
Rfam family: Bacterial small subunit ribosomal RNA
Source: RNAcentral
UAGGGAAUAUUGGACAAUGGGUGAGAGCCUGAUCCAGCCAUGCCGCGUGCAGGAAGAAGGCGUUAUGCGUUGUAAACUGCUUUUUGCCAGGGGAUAAAAAGACCGUGCGCGGUUAAUUGAAGGUACCUGGUGAAUAAGCCACGGCUAACUACGUGCCAGCAGCCGCGGUAAUACGUAGGUGGCAAGCGUUGUCCGGAUUUAUUGGGUUUAAAGGGUGCGUAGGUGGCCCUGUAAGUCAGUAGUGAAAUAUCUCAGCUUAACUGAGAGGGUGCCAUUGAUACUGCAGGGCUUGAGUACAGAUGAGGUAGGCGGAAUUGACGGUGUAGCGGUGAAAUGCAUAGAUAUCGUCAAGAACACCGAUAGCGAAGGCAGCUUACCAAGCUGUAACUGACACUGAGGCACGAAAGUGUGGGGAUCAAACAGGAUUAGAUACCCGGGUAGUCCCUGAGCGGGCUGGCAAGGCGCAU